CUGCUUCCCAGGCCUGUGCCCUGAAGCCUCUCCCAUUGUGGCCCCUCAUCUUCCUGACACUGGCCCUACCCCCUGGGGAUACCCCAGGAGCAGGGCCCUCACCCUGCAGCUUUUCCUGUGCAGGGCCUGGGGCUGCCUCGUUCUGUGCAAAUGUUCAGCUGGUGUUUCUUUUCAUCAGUGAGUUCAGACAGGGUCUCUGCCCUGGAGAACGUGCCACGAGAAAUAUGCUACUAAAUUUGUAUUCACAGAAUUUCGAGCAGAAAGGGCCCCAGAGGAGCCUGCCCAGUCCCCACAGAGAGGGAGCCAAGACUGGGCCUCCCCCUCACCUUGUGGGGGUGGCAAUGGUAAGCACCUGGCAAAGUUGUCAUCCUGACUCUCCCUUCGCCAUUCUGAAGCCUUGUCUGGUCUCCUAACUCCUGCUGUGACUGACCAGUGGAUUUCUGGAACAACAGCUGUCAUUAAAAGCCAGGGCAAG
This 475-nucleotide long non-coding RNA is filed under the name Fukomys damarensis (Damara mole-rat). RNAcentral describes it as "lncRNA (ENSFDAG00000033423.1)". The record is from RNAcentral. Lineage: Eukaryota; Metazoa; Chordata; Mammalia; Rodentia; Bathyergidae.